Molecule: transfer RNA, 67 nt
Filed under: Limatus durhamii
Lineage: Eukaryota; Metazoa; Arthropoda; Insecta; Diptera; Culicidae
Description: tRNA-Thr
Source: RNAcentral
GUUUUAAUAGUUUAAAAAAAACAUUAGUUUUGUAAACUAAAAAUAAAAAAAAAAUUUUUUUAAAACU